UGCAGGCAUGAAUGGGACAGCUAUUGAAAAUUUCAUCUGUGUUAUUUAUAAUGUUUCCUUCAUGAAUUGCACUUGGCAUGUAGGCAGGACUGUUCCAGCAGAUACCCAAUAUUUUCUGUACUGGAAGAGCUCCAGGCGGAUCCUGAGAAAAGCACCAAAGAUACAUCUAAAACAAAAAACGACAUCAGAGGAAGAUCAUACAUAUUUCAAAACUUCAAUGCAGAAAAAAGAUACAUUGUCAAAAUCAGAGCAACUGACAGUGGUUGUUUAGUGAGCACAAACUGGGGGGAAUGGAGUACGCCUGUUGAGUUUGGUAAGAAUGAAAAUCAU
Molecule: long non-coding RNA, 330 nt
Filed under: Dromaius novaehollandiae (emu)
Lineage: Eukaryota; Metazoa; Chordata; Aves; Casuariiformes; Dromaiidae
Description: lncRNA (ENSDNVG00000016968.1)
Source: RNAcentral